RNAcentral lists this non-coding RNA (180 nucleotides) under Lawsonia intracellularis. Its description in RNAcentral is "6S RNA". It matches the Rfam family "6S / SsrS RNA". From Rfam's summary of the family: E. coli 6S RNA was the first non coding RNA to be sequenced, but its function was unknown until recently. The record is from RNAcentral. RNAcentral also lists the same sequence under 1 other name. Lineage: Bacteria; Pseudomonadati; Thermodesulfobacteriota; Desulfovibrionia; Desulfovibrionales; Desulfovibrionaceae.
AAUUACCUGGGGCGUUUGUGGACUUGUAUGAUGCUAACCUCACAAGUAAAAAAAUGGAAUUACUAUUAUGUUAACAGGUGUGUUUACUCCAUGUGAGUAUACCUAAACGUUAGCUAAUAGUUCCCACCUGGUUUUAUUCAGGUUCUGAAUCUGCAUGUAUACGGCGUCCUUGGGUACUAU